CGUAAUGUAGCUUAACCAAAGCACCUCGCUUACACCGAGAAAAUGUCUGUGAAAACCAGGCCCUUACGA
This 69-nucleotide transfer RNA is filed under the name Rhinella cf. multiverrucosa MUBI 11455. Its description in RNAcentral is "tRNA-Val". It matches the Rfam family "tRNA". Rfam says of the family: Transfer RNA (tRNA) molecules are approximately 80 nucleotides in length. Their secondary structure includes four short double-helical elements and three loops (D, anti-codon, and T loops). The record is from RNAcentral. Lineage: Eukaryota; Metazoa; Chordata; Amphibia; Anura; Bufonidae.